UGUAUCUAGGGAGGAACUCCUGGAAAUGCCCUCACACCCAGUGUGUGAGCUGUGCUAUCUAUAAAGUGUCACAAGCUGGUCAUGGAAUGAAGCCAUGGAAGAGAGGAAGCCACAGGCAGCAUCAGCACCUACUUGUCUUGUUGGCAUCUGGUCAGCUCUUGGGGACCAAGACUCAUUGCUCUGUGGGUGUAAAAAAAAACAUGAGGUCAGAUUGAAUCAAUGUAGGAAAUACAAGGGCACAUACAGCAGAAUGACCAAUAGCGGUGUCUGGAACAGAAAACAAAGUUAACAAAACUGCACGUCCCUAAAACAGUUUGGCAUUGUAAUAUGCAGUCCAU
Pseudophryne corroboree (corroboree frog) is the source of this 338-nucleotide long non-coding RNA. RefSeq lists it as uncharacterized. NCBI's taxonomy places the organism in Eukaryota, Metazoa, Chordata, Amphibia, Anura, Myobatrachidae. The transcript is spliced from 3 exons. The record is from RefSeq and is a predicted model, not a curated record.